AGAUCAUUUGUCACAAUUCAACUGUGAGUUUUUUCUCGCAAUAAUUUUCUAUUUUAGUUGAAAUGCAAGACGAUGGGAUAUUGAAAUAUUUGGCUUUUCUUGAUGUAAACGAAAGACUGGAAUAAAUGGAAAUAAAAGCGAUUGAGAGGGAAUAAAAGAAGGAAAGAUAUGUGUUUAUAUAUUUGUGCUUGUUUGAAGAGGAG
RNAcentral lists this unclassified non-coding RNA (203 nucleotides) under Hevea brasiliensis (rubber tree). Lineage: Eukaryota; Viridiplantae; Streptophyta; Magnoliopsida; Malpighiales; Euphorbiaceae. The record is from RNAcentral.